RNAcentral lists this ribosomal RNA (494 nucleotides) under uncultured bacterium. RNAcentral's name for it is "partial 16S ribosomal RNA". It matches the Rfam family "Bacterial small subunit ribosomal RNA", at positions 28 to 506 of the family's 1533-position model. The record is from RNAcentral.
GACGAACGCUGGCGGCGUGCCUAAUACAUGCAAGUAGAACGCUGAAGGAGGAGCUUGCUUCUCUGGAUGAGUUGCGAACGGGUGAGUAACGCGUAGGUAACCUGCCUGGUAGCGGGGGAUAACUAUUGGAAACGAUAGCUAAUACCGCAUAAGAGUAGAUGUUGCAUGACAUUUGCUUAAAAGGUGCAAUUGCAUCACUACCAGAUGGACCUGCGUUGUAUUAGCUAGUUGGUGGGGUAACGGCUCACCAAGGCGACGAUACAUAGCCGACCUGAGAGGGUGAUCGGCCACACUGGGACUGAGACACGGCCCAGACUCCUACGGGAGGCAGCAGUAGGGAAUCUUCGGCAAUGGACGGAAGUCUGACCGAGCAACGCCGCGUGAGUGAAGAAGGUGUUCGGAUCGUAAAGCUCUGUUGUAAGAGAAGAACGAGUGUGAGAGUGGAAAGUUCACACUGUGACGGUAUCGUACCAGAAAGGGACGGCUAACUACGU